This 251-nucleotide ribosomal RNA is filed under the name uncultured bacterium. RNAcentral's name for it is "partial 16S ribosomal RNA". It matches the Rfam family "Bacterial small subunit ribosomal RNA", at positions 524 to 777 of the family's 1533-position model. The record is from RNAcentral.
UACGAAGGGGGCUAGCGUUGUUCGGAAUGACUGGGCGUAAAGGGCGCGUAGGCGGCGGACUAAGUCAGGCGUGAAAGCCCUGGGCUUAACCUGGGAAUUGCGUUUGAUACUGGUUGCUUGAGUGCGGGAGAGGAUGGUGGAAUUCCCAGUGAGAGGUGAAAUUCGUAGAUAUUGGGAAGAACACCGGUGGCGAAGGCGGCCAUCUGGACCGUUACUGACGCUGAGGCGCGAAAGCGUGGGAGCGAACGAGG